This 423-nucleotide long non-coding RNA is filed under the name Homo sapiens (human). Its description in RNAcentral is "HSALNT0059751". The record is from RNAcentral. Lineage: Eukaryota; Metazoa; Chordata; Mammalia; Primates; Hominidae.
AGCAACGAAGUCUGUCUACCAGCAUUUAGUACACUGAGUGAGGGAAGACCAUCGCAGGGUGGGAAGGUUUCAGCUUCACUUCGCAACCCAGGCUCUGGAAGUAUGUCAUCUUCCAAUUGCUUCAUCAUUGCCUACUCUCCUAACCACAGGCAUAGCGCGUCAGAAGACUGAAACCCAACUCAGCCAACCAUCUAUUCACAUGCCAUCAUCCACGAGUUUGUUGACAUCUCUCAUUUGCUGUUGUCUCUCCUCAUUCUUUCUGUCCUCAUAGGUUUAUAAGUUUUCAUUUUCUUUCUUUAAAAACUCAUUUUAAGGACACCAUUAUUUUUAAAAAAAGCAAUAGAAAAUAACAAGUAUGGGCAAAGACGUGGAGAAAUUGGAACCGUCGCACACUGCUGGUGGAAAUGUAAAAUGGCAGAGUUC